This 466-nucleotide ribosomal RNA is filed under the name uncultured bacterium. RNAcentral describes it as "partial 16S ribosomal RNA". It matches the Rfam family "Bacterial small subunit ribosomal RNA", at positions 28 to 507 of the family's 1533-position model. The record is from RNAcentral.
GAUGAACGCUGGCGGCGUGCUUAACACAUGCAAGUCGAACGGAAAGGCUCCUGCUUGCCGGGGUUCUCGAGUGGCGAACGGGUGAGUAACACGUGGGUGAUACGCCCUGCACUUCGGGAUAAGCCUGGGAAACUCGGUCUAAUACCGGAUAGGACGUUUGUUUGGAUGCCAUUGAGGAAAGUAUUUGCGGUGUGGGAUGAGUUCGCGGCCUAUCGGCUUGUCGGUGGGGUAAUGGCCGACCAAGGCGUCGACGGGUAGCCGGCCUGGGAGGGUGGACAGCGACAUUAGGACUGAGGUACGGAGCAGACUCCAACGGGAGGCAGCAGUGGAGAGUAUUGCGCAGUGAGCGCGAGCCAGAUGCGGCGGCGCCGCGUGGGGGAUAACGGCCUUCGGGUUAUGAACACCUGUCGCUGGAGACAAAGCGCUAGUGACGGUACCUGGAGAGAAAGCACCGGCUAACUACGUG